AUACGGAGGGUGCAAGCGUUAAUCGGAAUUACUGGGCGUAAAGCGCGCGUAGGCGGCUGAUUAAGUCGGAUGUGAAAUCCCUGGGCUCAACCUAGGAACUGCAUCCGAUACUGGUCAGCUAGAGUUUUGGAGAGGUAAGUGGAAUUUCCGGUGUAGCGGUGAAAUGCAUAGAGAUCGGAAGGAACACCAGUGGCGAAGGCGACUUACUGGCCAAAAACUGACGCUGAGGUGCGAAAGCGUGGGUAGCGAACAGGAUUAGAAACCCUUGUAGUCC
This 274-nucleotide ribosomal RNA is filed under the name uncultured bacterium. RNAcentral's name for it is "partial 16S ribosomal RNA". It matches the Rfam family "Bacterial small subunit ribosomal RNA", at positions 523 to 796 of the family's 1533-position model. The record is from RNAcentral.